AACGAACGCUGGCGGCAUGCCUAACACAUGCAAGUCGAACGAGACCUUCGGGUCUAGUGGCGCACGGGUGCGUAACGCGUGGGAACCUGCCCUUAGGUUCGGAAUAACUCCCCGAAAGGGGUGCUAAUACCGGAUAAUGUCUUCGGACCAAAGAUUUAUCGCCUUUGGAUGGGCCCGCGUUGGAUUAGCUAGUUGGUAGGGUAAAAGCCUACCAAGGCGAGGAUCCAUAGCUGGUCUGAGAGGAUGAUCAGCCACACUGGGACUGAGACACGGCCCAGACUCCUACGGGAGGCAGCAGUGGGGAAUAUUGGACGAUGGGCGAAAGCCUGAUACAGCAAUGCCGCGGGAGUGAUGAAGGCCUUAGGGUUGUAAAGCUCUUUUACCCGGGAUGAUAAUGACAGUACCGGGAGAAUAAGCUCCGGCUAACUCCGUG
Molecule: ribosomal RNA, 433 nt
Filed under: uncultured bacterium
Lineage: Bacteria
Description: partial 16S ribosomal RNA
Rfam family: Bacterial small subunit ribosomal RNA
Source: RNAcentral